UACGUAUGGUGCAAGCGUUAUCCGGAUUUACUGGGUGUAAAGGGAGCGUAGGCGGCGCGUUAAAUCUGAUGUGAAAACCCGAGGCUCAACCACGGGAGUGCAUUGGAAACUGGCGGGCUGGAGUGCCGGAGAGGUAAGCGGAAUUCCUAGUGUAGCGGUGAAAUGCGUAGAUAUUAGGAGGAACACCAGUGGCGAAGGCGGCUUACUGGACGGCAACUGACGCUGAGGCUCGAAAGCGUGGGGAGCAAACAGG
Molecule: ribosomal RNA, 253 nt
Filed under: uncultured bacterium
Lineage: Bacteria
Description: partial 16S ribosomal RNA
Rfam family: Bacterial small subunit ribosomal RNA
Source: RNAcentral